UACGAAGGGGGCUAGCGUUGCUCGGAAUGACUGGGCGUAAAGGGCGCGUAGGCGGAUGGCACAGUCAGAUGUGAAAUUCCCGGGCUUAACCUGGGGGCUGCAUUUGAUACGUGUUGUCUAGAGUGAGGAAGAGGGUUGUGGAAUUCCCAGUGUAGAGGUGAAAUUCGUAGAUAUUGGGAAGAACACCGGUGGCGAAGGCGGCAACCUGGUCCCUGACUGACGCUGAGGCGCGAAAGCGUGGGGAGCGAACAGG
This 253-nucleotide ribosomal RNA is filed under the name uncultured bacterium. RNAcentral's name for it is "partial 16S ribosomal RNA". It matches the Rfam family "Bacterial small subunit ribosomal RNA", at positions 524 to 776 of the family's 1533-position model. The record is from RNAcentral.